AUUGAACGCUGGCGGCAUGCUUUACACAUGCAAGUCGAACGGCCGCGCGGACUUCGGCCUGGCUGCGAGUAGCGAACGGGUGAGUCAUGCAUCGGAACGUGCCCAGUAGUGGGGGAUAGCCCGGCGAACGCCGGAUUAAUACCGCAUACGACCUGGGGGUGAAAGCGGGGAGCCGAGGGGCCUAGCGCUAUUGGAGGGGCCGAUGUCGAAUUCGCUAGUUGGUGGGGAAAAGGCUUACCAAGGCGACGAUCCGUAGCUGGUCUGAGAGGACUACCAGCCACACUGGGACUGAGACACGCCCCAGACUCCUACGGGAGUCAGCAGUGGGGAAUUUUGGACAAUGGUUGCAACUCUGAACCAGCCAUGCCGCGUGCGGCAAGAAGCCCCCCGGCUUGUAAAACGCUUUUGUCCGGGAAGAAACCCUCUGGGCUAAUACCCCGGGGGGAUGACGGUACCGGAAGAAUAGGCACCGGCUAACUACGUG
This 484-nucleotide ribosomal RNA is filed under the name uncultured bacterium. Its description in RNAcentral is "partial 16S ribosomal RNA". It matches the Rfam family "Bacterial small subunit ribosomal RNA", at positions 28 to 507 of the family's 1533-position model. The record is from RNAcentral.